AGCGUAGACGGAGAGGCAAGUCUGAUGUGAAAACCCGGGGCUCAACCCCGGGAGUGCAUUGGAAACUGUUUAUCUAGAGUGCCGGAGGGGUAAGUGGAAUUCCUAGUGUAGCGGUGAAAUGCGUAGAUAUUAGGAGGAACACCAGUGGCGAAGGCGGCUUACUGGACGGUAACUGACGUUGAGGCUCGAAAGCGUGGGGAGCAAACA
Molecule: ribosomal RNA, 207 nt
Filed under: uncultured bacterium
Lineage: Bacteria
Description: partial 16S ribosomal RNA
Rfam family: Bacterial small subunit ribosomal RNA
Source: RNAcentral